GCCCGGGUGGUGGAAUUGGUAGACACAAGGGAUUUAAAAUCCCUCGACUUCUGGUCGUGCGGGUUCAAGUCCCGCCCCGGGCA
Molecule: transfer RNA, 83 nt
Filed under: Microbulbifer agarilyticus
Lineage: Bacteria; Pseudomonadati; Pseudomonadota; Gammaproteobacteria; Cellvibrionales; Microbulbiferaceae
Rfam family: tRNA
About the family: Transfer RNA (tRNA) molecules are approximately 80 nucleotides in length.
Source: Rfam by way of RNAcentral